RNAcentral lists this ribosomal RNA (1732 nucleotides) under Escherichia coli. RNAcentral's name for it is "partial 23S ribosomal RNA". It matches the Rfam family "Bacterial large subunit ribosomal RNA", at positions 419 to 2136 of the family's 2925-position model. Lineage: Bacteria; Pseudomonadati; Pseudomonadota; Gammaproteobacteria; Enterobacterales; Enterobacteriaceae. The record is from RNAcentral.
GGGACACGUGGUAUCCUGUCUGAAUAUGGGGGGACCAUCCUCCAAGGCUAAAUACUCCUGACUGACCGAUAGUGAACCAGUACCGUGAGGGAAAGGCGAAAAGAACCCCGGCGAGGGGAGUGAAAAAGAACCUGAAACCGUGUACGUACAAGCAGUGGGAGCCUCUUAAUGGGGUGACUGCGUACCUUUUGUAUAAUGGGUCAGCGACUUAUAUUCUGUAGCAAGGUUAACCGAAUAGGGGAGCCGAAGGGAAACCGAGUCUUAACUGGGCGUUAAGUUGCAGGGUAUAGACCCGAAACCCGGUGAUCUAGCCAUGGGCAGGUUGAAGGUUGGGUAACACUAACUGGAGGACCGAACCGACUAAUGUUGAAAAAUUAGCGGAUGACUUGUGGCUGGGGGUGAAAGGCCAAUCAAACCGGGAGAUAGCUGGUUCUCCCCGAAAGCUAUUUAGGUAGCGCCUCGUGAAUUCAUCUCCGGGGGUAGAGCACUGUUUCGGCAAGGGGGUCAUCCCGACUUACCAACCCGAUGCAAACUGCGAAUACCGGAGAAUGUUAUCACGGGAGACACACGGCGGGUGCUAACGUCCGUCGUGAAGAGGGAAACAACCCAGACCGCCAGCUAAGGUCCCAAAGUCAUGGUUAAGUGGGAAACGAUGUGGGAAGGCCCAGACAGCCAGGAUGUUGGCUUAGAAGCAGCCAUCAUUUAAAGAAAGCGUAAUAGCUCACUGGUCGAGUCGGCCUGCGCGGAAGAUGUAACGGGGCUAAACCAUGCACCGAAGCUGCGGCAGCGACACUAUGUGUUGUUGGGUAGGGGAGCGUUCUGUAAGCCUGUGAAGGUGGCCUGUGAGGGUUGCUGGAGGUAUCAGAAGUGCGAAUGCUGACAUAAGUAACGAUAAAGCGGGUGAAAAGCCCGCUCGCCGGAAGACCAAGGGUUCCUGUCCAACGUUAAUCGGGGCAGGGUGAGUCGACCCCUAAGGCGAGGCCGAAAGGCGUAGUCGAUGGGAAACAGGUUAAUAUUCCUGUACUUGGUGUUACUGCGAAGGGGGGACGGAGAAGGCUAUGUUGGCCGGGCGACGGUUGUCCCGGUUUAAGCGUGUAGGCUGGUUUUCCAGGCAAAUCCGGAAAACCAAGGCUGAGGCGUGAUGACGAGGCACUACGGUGCUGAAGCGACAAAUGCCCUGCUUCCAGGAAAAGCCUCUAAGCAUCAGGUAACAUCAAAUCGUACCCCAAACCGACACAGGUGGUCAGGUAGAGAAUACCAAGGCGCUUGAGAGAACUCGGGUGAAGGAACUAGGCAAAAUGGUGCCGUAACUUCGGGAGAAGGCACGCUGAUAUGUAGGUGAAGCGACUUGCUCGUGGAGCUGAAAUCAGUCGAAGAUACCAGCUGGCUGCAACUGUUUAUUAAAAACACAGCACUGUGCAAACACGAAAGUGGACGUAUACGGUGUGACGCCUGCCCGGUGCCGGAAGGUUAAUUGAUGGGGUUAGCGGUAACGCGAAGCUCUUGAUCGAAGCCCCGGUAAACGGCGGCCGUAACUAUAACGGUCCUAAGGUAGCGAAAUUCCUUGUCGGGUAAGUUCCGACCUGCACGAAUGGCGUAAUGAUGGCCAGGCUGUCUCCACCCGAGACUCAGUGAAAUUGAACUCGCUGUGAAGAUGCAGUGUACCCGCGGCAAGACGGAAAGACCCCGUGAACCUUUACUAUAGCUUGACACUGAACAUUGAGCCUUGAUG